Molecule: small nucleolar RNA, 106 nt
Filed under: Mus caroli (Ryukyu mouse)
Lineage: Eukaryota; Metazoa; Chordata; Mammalia; Rodentia; Muridae
Description: snoRNA (MGP_CAROLIEiJ_G0036566.1)
Source: RNAcentral
AUGCUGACAUGGUGCUUUGGUACUCCUCCUGGAGGAGGAUCUACAGGUCUUGAUUCACUGGUGGGAGCCUUCAGUGCCCCUGUUAGUACCUAGACCAGAAACAUGU